CAUUGCAUGAAAUUGGGCAUCUUCUUGGACUUGGGCAUACAAAUAUUCCGGAUGCAAUUAUGUACCCUAAUAUCCGUUAUGCUAUGGUAAAAAGAACUCUACAUCAAGAUGAUAUCGAUGGAAUUAGAACUUUAUAUGGAUCUUGAUAGCAAGAUUAGUUAUCAUAGGCACCAAUCAAGAUCAGGUUAUAAGUCCCGUCCUAAGUUUUCAAGGUCAUUUUGAGUUUAAACAAAAGUAUAAUUUAGGGUUUGAAGAAUAACAUUAUAUAUUAGUUCAAUUUGACUUAGCUACAAUGUUCCAUGUUUAUAAUUACAACGUUAUUCUUGUGCAGAUUCAAAAUAAACAUUAUAUCAAUAACAUUACAACAUUAGUUCUUAUGCAGAUGCGGAAAAAUAAAAUUAUGUUCAUUAUUUGUACGAAAAAAUAAUUACCAUGAAUUCAAGGGCAAUUUUUUAUAGGUCAAUGUUAGGAUAUGUCUAUUUUAAUUCCUAUUUAUUUAAUAGCCUUAAUAUUAGUCUUUGACGCGUGCGUUGCACGAGUUUUGUAUUUAUUUUAUUUUAUUAGCGUCAAAAUUGUAGAUUUUUCAAAAUUGGUUGAAGAUUUGAAGUAUUUGAUGAAGUCCAAUCGUUUGGUUCAUUGGAUUAUCGCAGGAUGCAUAGAGAUUUCUUUUUCGUUUUUUAUUUUUUUCUCAUUUAUUUAUAUUUUAUUUCUUUUGUUCAUAUUAUAAAUAUUUUUUUUCGAUUUAAAAUCCUUUUUAAUUUUUUUCUUUAUAAAAAAAAUUAUUUUUUUAAUUUUAAUUAAAUAAUAUUUAUAUGUUUUUUUAUUUAAUUUUCAGAACAUUCUUUUGUUUAAUUUGCUUUGUUUUUAUUAUAUAUUUUUUGAAGAUUGUUUUAAAAAAAAAUCUUCAUAUUAUAAAUAAUUUGUUGUUUGAUUUAAAAUUCUUUUCGUUCUUUAUUUAAUUUUCACAACAUUUUUGCAAGAUUGUUUUUUUCUUUUCGAUUUAAAAUAAAUUAUUAGUUUCUCCUUAGGUAUCUAAAUCUUUUUUGCUUUUCUCCUUAUUCUACAACACAAUUAUUCUAGAUGUUUUCCUAAUUCAUAUUGAUAUUUACAUUCUAGUUCUUUGCUACUCCAUCAUUUAAAGAGAAAUCAACAGUAUAACAUAUUAAUAAAAAUGCAUGUUGUACAAUAUUGCCAAUUAAUUGGACAACAAAAUCACUUCGAGAAACAUUAGCAGUAAAUUAAUAAACUCAUAAAAUUACAAUAGCUACUAAAUGCACAAAUUCUAAUCUGACCUCUGUAAACUGUAAUAAGAGGUCUAACCUGACCUCUAUAAACUGUAAUAAGAGGCAGAGGAUGAAGAAAGGGCAGAGUGGAGGGCCACUCCACUGGCAUUGUAGUUGUAAUAUUUUCACAUAACCCAUCUAUUAUCACACCCUAAAAGACAACACAAAUCAUGCAUCAAUACCACAGACAGUGUAUUAAACAUACAAAAAAAUAAGGAGCUUACGUGUCAAGAAGUAAAGAGACAUCAAAUAUACAGACACCUCACUGGACGGUUCUAGUCUUAGUUUCUUGGAACGAAUCUUACAAGAAAGGGUUGGGGCCUCAGUCCCCAAUGGAGUUUAUUUUUAGUUGUCACUCACUAAAACUUCAUCAACUAAAUGUGUUUCCGAAGCUUUCUUCUAUUC
This 1688-nucleotide long non-coding RNA is filed under the name Olea europaea (common olive). RNAcentral's name for it is "long non-coding RNA (OEUR_LNC007181)". The record is from RNAcentral. Lineage: Eukaryota; Viridiplantae; Streptophyta; Magnoliopsida; Lamiales; Oleaceae.